UGAACGCUGGCGGCGUGCCUAAUACAUGCAAGUCGAGCGAAUGGAUUGAGAGCUUGCUCUCAAGAAGUUAGCGGCGGACGGGUGAGUAACACGUGGGUAACCUGCCCAUAAGACUGGGAUAACUCCGGGAAACCGGGGCUAAUACCGGAUAAUAUUUUGAACUGCAUGGUUCGAAAUUGAAAGGCGGCUUCGGCUGUCACUUAUGGAUGGACCCGCGUCGCAUUAGCUAGUUGGUGAGGUAACGGCUCACCAAGGCAACGAUGCGUAGCCGACCUGAGAGGGUGAUCGGCCACACUGGGACUGAGACACGGCCCAGACUCCUACGGGAGGCAGCAGUAGGGAAUCUUCCGCAAUGGACGAAAGUCUGACGGAGCAACGCCGCGUGAGUGAUGAAGGCUUUCGGGUCGUAAAACUCUGUUGUUAGGGAAGAACAAGUGCUAGUUGAAUAAGCUGGCACCUUGACGGUACCUAACCAGAAAGCCACGGCUAACUACGUGCCAGCAGCCGCGGUAAUACGUAGGUGGCAAGCGUUAUCCGGAAUUAUUGGGCGUAAAGCGCGCGCAGGUGGUUUCUUAAGUCUGAUGUGAAAGCCCACGGCUCAACCGUGGAGGGUCAUUGGAAACUGGGAGACUUGAGUGCAGAAGAGGAAAGUGGAAUUCCAUGUGUAGCGGUGAAAUGCGUAGAGAUAUGGAGGAACACCAGUGGCGAAGGCGACUUUCUGGUCUGUUACUGACACUGAGGCGCGAAAGCUUUGGGGAGCAAACAGGAUUAGAUACCCUGGUAGUCCACGCCGUAAACGAUGAGGGCUAAGUGUUAGAGGGUUUCCGCCCUUUAGUGCUGAAAGUU
This 846-nucleotide ribosomal RNA is filed under the name uncultured Bacillus sp. RNAcentral's name for it is "bacterial SSU rRNA". It matches the Rfam family "Bacterial small subunit ribosomal RNA", at positions 30 to 854 of the family's 1533-position model. Lineage: Bacteria; Bacillati; Bacillota; Bacilli; Caryophanales; Bacillaceae. The record is from RNAcentral.